CCCUUAGACGUUCUGGGCCGCACGCGCGCUACACUGGCCGGUGCAACAAGCAUCCGUCCUUGGCCGACAGGCCCGGGCAAUCUUUGAACGCCGGUCGUGAUGGGGAUAGACUUUUGCAAUUUUUGGUCUUCAACGAGGAAUUCCUAGUAAACGCAAGUCAUCAACUUGCAUUGAUUACGUCCCUGCCCUUUGUACACACCGCCCGUCGCGCCUACCGAUUGAAUGGUCCGGUGAAGCCUCCGGAUUGGCGCGCACCUCGGUGCCGCCGAGAAGUUGGCUAAACCUUACCAUUUAGAGGAAGGUGAAGUCGUAACA
This 315-nucleotide ribosomal RNA is filed under the name uncultured eukaryote. Its description in RNAcentral is "partial 18S ribosomal RNA". It matches the Rfam family "Eukaryotic small subunit ribosomal RNA", at positions 1470 to 1796 of the family's 1831-position model. The record is from RNAcentral.